RNAcentral lists this ribosomal RNA (166 nucleotides) under uncultured bacterium. RNAcentral's name for it is "partial 16S rRNA". It matches the Rfam family "Bacterial small subunit ribosomal RNA", at positions 355 to 511 of the family's 1533-position model. The record is from RNAcentral.
UAGGGAAUCUUCCACAAUGGGCGAAAGCCUGAUGGAGCAACGCCGCGNGUUUGUGAUGAAGGGUUUCGGCUCGUAAAACACUGUUGUAAGAGAAGAAUGACAUUGAGAGUAACUGUUCAAUGUGUGACGGUAUCUUACCAGAAAGGAACGGCUAAAUACGUGCCAG